UUAGAGUUUGAUCCUGGCUCAGGAUAAACGCUGGCGGCGUACAUAAGACAUGCAAGUCGAACGAGCAGAAGCUAAAAGAUUUAUCUCUUAGUGGAGCUAGUGGCGGAUGGGUGAGUAACACGUAAGCAACCUACCUAGCAGAGGGGAAUAACAGUGAGAAAUCAUUGCUAAUACCGCAUACCUUGUAGAGAAGGCAUCUUCAUUACAAGAAAAGAUUAAUCUGCUGUUAGAUGGGCUUGCGCCUGAUUAGCUAGUUGGUGAGAUAAAAGCUCACCAAGGCGACGAUCAGUAGCCGGACUGAGAGGUUGAACGGCCACAUUGGGACUGAGACACGGACCAGACUCCUACGGGAGGCAGCAGUGAGGAAUAUUGGUCAAUGGAGGCAACUCUGAACCAGCCACGUCGCGUGAAGGAUGACGGCCCUACGGGUUGUAAACUUCUUUUUCAAGGGAAUAAAGUUGGCCACGCGUGGCCAUUUGCAUGUACCUUGCGAAUAAGGAUCGGCUAACUCCGUGCCAGCAGCCGCGGUAAUACGGAGGAUCCGAGCGUUAUCCGGAUUUAUUGGGUUUAAAGGGUGCGCAGGCGGGGGGUUAAGUCGGCGGUGAAAUUUUGCAGCUCAACUGUAAGAGUGCCGUCGAUACUGGUCCCCUUGAGUGUGGAUGAGGUAGGCGGAAUUUGUGGUGUAGCGGUGAAAUGCAUAGAUAUCACGAGGAACUCCGAUUGCGCAGGCAGCUUACCAGGCCAUAACUGACGCUCAUGCACGAAGGCGUGGGGAUCAAACAGGAUUAGAUACCCUGGUAGUCCACGCAGUAAACUAUGAUUACUGGCUGUUUGCGAUACACUGUAAGCGGCUGAGCGAAAGCGUUAAGUAAUCCACCUGGGGAGUACGUUCGCAAGAAUGAAACUCAAAGGAAUUGACGGGGGCCCGCACAAGCGGAGGAACAUGUGGUUUAAUUCGAUGAUACGCGAGGAACCUUACCCGGGCUUGAAAUGCGGCGGACCGGCGGAGAGAUCCGCCCUCCCUUCGGGGCCGUCGUGUAGGUGCUGCAUGGUUGUCGUCAGCUCGUGCCGUGAGGUGUCGGCUUAAGUGCCAUAACGAGCGCAACCCUCAUCGUUAGUUGCCAUCAGGUCAUGCUGGGGACUCUAGCGAGACUGCCAUCGUAAGAUGCGAGGAAGGUGGGGAUGACGUCAAAUCAGCACGGCCCUUAUGUCCGGGGCGACACACGUGUUACAAUGGCCGGUACAGAGCGCAGCGAGGCCGCGAGGCCGAGCGAAUCGCCCAAAGCCGGUCCCAGUACGGAUUGGAGUCUGCAACUCGACUCCAUGAAGUUGGAAUCGCUAGUAAUCACGCAUCAGCAUGGCGUGGUGAAUUAGUUCCCGGGCCUUGUACACACCGCCCGUCAAG
Molecule: ribosomal RNA, 1405 nt
Filed under: uncultured bacterium
Lineage: Bacteria
Description: bacterial SSU rRNA
Rfam family: Bacterial small subunit ribosomal RNA
Source: RNAcentral